Molecule: RNA transcript, 5238 nt
Organism: Parus major (Great Tit)
Lineage: Eukaryota; Metazoa; Chordata; Aves; Passeriformes; Paridae
Gene name: general transcription factor II-I
Exons: 46
Source: RefSeq, a predicted model, not a curated record
CCGCGCGGGACGAGCGGCGCCACUCAACGGCGCCGAGGGUUCUGCGGGAAAACCGGCGCUGCCCCGGCGUUACCGCGCAGCCGUGAGGCGUCUCCAGCCGGAGGAACCGGGCUGCCUCCGCCAGGAGCGGGAGGAAAAUGGCUCAAACAAUUGUACCAGCAACAUCCAACCAUGAUGAGGAAUCAUUAGAAAGCAGAAUGGUGGUUACAUUCCUCAUGUCAGGACUUGAAUCAAUGUGUAAUGAGCUUUCCAAGUCCAAGGCAGAAAUUGUCUGUAUUGGUGUAUAUGCAAGACACUUUUUUGUAGUUGGAACUGAGAGAGGAAAAGCCUUUGUCAACUUUAGGGAAGAUAUUAAGAAGGAUUUUACUGAAUACUGCAUUAAAGAGGACAGGCCUGCAGAACUGCAGAGAACAAAGACUACACCACCUGUAAACAGACAGAGGGUGGAUGCUGAGGAGCUGGAGACUCUUAGAAAGUCUGUGGAAGACUUUUUCUGCUUAUGCUAUGGUAAUGCUUUAGGAGAGUCAGCAGCGGUACCUGUGCCAUAUGAAGAGAUUCAGAGCAACCAGUCUGUUGUGAUAGUGCAGGGUCUGCCUGAAGGAAUCACAUUUAAACAUCCAUCAAAUUAUGAUCUUCCCACCCUGAAAUGGAUUUUGAAAAACAAAUCAGAGAUCUCAUUUACUAUCAACAGGCCUUUCCUGAAACCAGUGAACCACAUAGAAGCUGAUACGACAGAUCCUUCACACUCAGUUACACCUCCAGGUGGAAGUUGUCCUCCUGUUAAUGUGAAAACAGAACCAAGCAAGGAUUCUGACACCAACGAGGAUCUUGGAAUUUCUUCCAGAAAGUCGACAGGAACACUGAAGCAGGAAACAGAUGAUCCUAACUACUAUCAGUUUAAUACUCCAGCAGGCCCUUCCAAAACAUCAGAGACAGAUGAAAAAAUUCCUCCUGGAAUAAGUUACACAGAUUCCUCCCAGCAGGAUGCAUCAGAAACAAGUGAGGAUUCUGAGGCUGAAUUCACUAGUGGAGCUGCUGAUGAUGAUGAUGAUUACUUACAUCCAGACAAUAGACUGCAGAGCACCACGCCAGCUAAUGAAGCUGCCGAUACUGAAAGACAACCAGAAGAGUUCAGUUUUGACUCCUCCCAGCAUGAUGCAUUAGAAGCUAUUGAGAAACCUGAGGUUGAAGUCACCAUUGAAGAUGAUGAUGAUGACUACCUGGUCCCUGACAAGAGAUUGCAGAGCAGCAAGUCAGCUAAUGAAGCUGCCAAUACUGGGAAAAGAAAAACAAACGAGCUCCAUUCAGAUUCCUCCCAGCAUGACUCGUCAGAAACAAGUGAGGAUUCUGAGGCUGAAGUAUCUAGUGAAGAUGAUGAUGAUGAUGAUGAUGAGUACCUGCCCCCUAGCAAGAGACCGAGGAGCAGCAGCAGACGGCGGCUGACUAAUGAAGCUGCCAGUAGUGGUAGAAGAAGAGCAAAAACGUUCAAUCGCAGUUCCUCCCAGCAUGAUUCAUCAGGAACAAGUGAGAAAAUUGAGGUUGAGGUCACAGUCGAUGAUGAUGACCAUGACUUCCUAUUCCUUGACAAGAGUCUGCAGAGUAACAAGUCUGCUAAUGAAGCUGGCAAUAUUGAGAGGAGUGAUGCAGAAGAAUUUAGUUUUGAUUCCUCUUUCCAUGUCGCAUCAGAAACAAGUGAGAAACCUGAGGUUGAGGUCACCAUUGAAGAUGAUGACCAUGACUUCAUAUCUCCUGACAAGAGUCUGCAGAGGAGCAAGUCUGCUAAUGAAACUGCCAAUAGUGAGAGAAAUGAAGCAGAAGAAUGCAAUUCAGAUUCCUCCCAGCAUGACUCGUCAGAAACAAGUGAGGAUUCUGAGGCUGAAUUCACUAGUGGAGAUGAUGACCUUGAUUAUGUACCCCGUAAGAAGAAAGUGAAGAGAACCAAGUCGGCUAAUGAAGAUGCCGAUAGUGAGACAAGUAGAACAAAAGAGUUCAAUUUUGACAAAUGGAACGUACGAAUUUCAGACUUGAGAAGGGAAGUUGAAGAGGUGUUUGAAAAAAGAUAUGCUGAAGCUAUAAAAGCAGAAGGUCCAGUGUCUAUCCCAUAUGGAGCGUUUCAGUCACAUUCAAAACACUUGGUUGUGGAAGGGCUGCCAGAAGGGAUUCCCUUCAGACGUCCGACCACGUACGGCAUUCCCCGACUGGAGAGGAUACUCCUGGUAAAGGACCAGAUCCGCUUUGUGAUUAAAAAGCCUGAACUUCUGAGAUCAACAGAUGCUCCCGUGGACAAGGAAGGUUCAGAAGUCUCAAGUACAGUGAAAGAGGAGUGGUAUGCCAGAAUCACCAAACUGAGAAAGACAGUAGAUCAACUUUUCUGUAAACAGUUUGCCAAGGCUUUGGGGAGUGAUGAGCCCAAAACUGUUCCAUACAAGAAAUUUGAAGCUCAUCCAGCUGACCUUUAUGUUGAAGGGCUGCCAGAAAAUGUCCCCUUUAGGAGUCCCUCCUGGUAUGGAAUCCCUUGCCUUGAACAAAUAAUUCAAGCAGGCGACAGAAUAAAGUUUGUGAUCAAAAGGCCAGAGCUGCUAACUCACACUUCAGUCGAAGUUGUUCGCUCCAGGUCGAGCGUUCAAGCGAGAGAAGAUUGGAAUUCUAAGAUUACAAAGCUAAGAAAGGAAGUAGAAGAUUUAUUUAGUGUGAAGUUUGGUGAAGCUCUGGGGCUUUCAGAGUCAGUGAAAGUUCCCUAUUCUGUAUUUGAAUCAAACCCUGAAUCCUUGGUCGUUGAAGGCUUGCCAGAAGGAGUUCCUUUCCGGAGUCCCACAUGGUUUGGAAUUCCACGCCUUGAAAGAAUCAUCCGUGGGAGUCGCAAAAUCAAAUUUGUUAUUAAGAAGCCUGAGCUUAUCAAUUCCCAUUUGCCUCUAAGAGUGGUUAAUAAACUAAAGAAAAAAGAUGUUAGUCCAAGGAGUUCCAGAAGGUCACGAAGUUCAUCAGAAAAUUCAAGUGUCGCAGAGAUUGAAGUUACUGUUGAAGCCAGUCCUACUAAAGCACAAACAAAAGAUGGUCAAACUAAUUCUCAAACCAAUGACUUCAGGCAAAAUGGAAGAGAGUUUUCUUUUGAGGCAUGGAAUUCCAGAAUCAGUACCUUAAAGCAGAAAGUUGAAAAUCUUUUUAGUGAAAAAUGUGGGCAAGCUCUGGGACUCAGUGAGCCAGUGAGGGUGCCAUAUGCACUGUUUGAUUCCUUCCCAGAGGAUUUCUAUGUGGAAGGACUACCUGAGGGAGUGCCCUUCCGCCAACCUGCGACUUUUGGGAUUCCAAGACUAGAGAAGAUCCUGAGAAAUAAAUCUAAAAUAAAAUUUAUUCUUAAAAAGCCUGAGAUGGUUGAGGAAGCUAUCAAAGAAGAGGCUUCUACAAGCCCCCAAGGAAAAAAUAAUUCCCCCAGUAAAGCUGAUAAAGCAAGGACCACAGAAAACACAGCUGCACGUGUUGAAGACCUCAACAUCGUUCAAGUAACUGUACCAGGUGAAGAAAGUGAGCGAGUGCCAAAAGAAAAUGCCAGACAAUUGAGAGAGCAAGUAAAUGAACUUUUUAGCCAGAAAUUUGGUGAAGCCACUGGUAUGAAUUUUCCUGUGAAAGUUCCAUACAGAAAAAUCACUAACAACCCUGGCUGUAUUUUGGUGGAUGGAAUGCCUCCAGGUGUGGCAUUUAAAGCACCCAGUUAUCUGGAAAUCAGCUCAAUGAAGAAGAUUUUGGAAUCAGCAGAGUUUAUCAAGUUUACUGUCACUAGACCAUUUCCAGGACUUGUCAUUAACAAUCAGCUCUUGGAAGAAGCUGAAGCAGAAGCACCAGCACCAGCAGCAACCACAGAGCCAGCUAAACCAAACAAAGUAGAAGUAUCUCUAGAAGGAAAAAACCAUUUUCCAUCCAACAUCAUAUUCUCUGCAGAAAGAACAGAAUCAGGCUCUGGGUCAUAUGGACAGUGCUACACAGACACAAGAUUCCUUUGAUUUACCUCCAAGUAUCCCUGCAAUGAAUAAAACUGUAUCAAAAGAUAACACAGAAACAGAAGAAAAUUCUCAAAUUAAGCAAGAUCCAAACCUGAUGUCAUAGACCUCAUCAAUACUGGUCAGAAGCUUCCUGUUCUGAGAAGAGCCUGCUGGGCCUGUCCAGAGCUGUGUAAUAUAAUUGUAUAAGAGAAGUAUCUUCUAUACAAACCCUUUUGUACUAUUAUAUAGAAAUGUCUACUUUUUCAGCAGUUCUAUGAAUUGACCUAAAUCAAAGAAUGACUGUAGAAUUGGAAUGUCUGAGUUUACUUUGGAAUAUAUAUUAAGGACUGAAUUUAAUACAGCAAUGCUGGGGAGAUGGCAGGGAUUAAAAUCAUCAGGGACUUAGUUGAGGCUGUCCACAUUUUCCAAUAAAGCUGAAUUUCAGUGUACCUGAAUGCAUCCUAGUUUUUGUAAUGAAAAAUUCCUGUAAAGAGUUACAUUUAUUUACUUUGGAGAAAAAAAAAACCUCCACGUGAAUAUUCAGCUAUUAUUUUAAUGUCUCAUUGGACUACAUUAUUUGUAUAUUUUAGCAAUUUUUUCCUAUUUUAUCUGUCACAAUUCAUAUGUUUUUUCCUAAAUAAAAGAUGAAUUUGAUGAAUUCAAAUGAAUUUCAUUUCAUUUGAUUAGUAUGCCUUAAUGAGAUAGAAUGGUCGGUAUUCCGAUGUGUGGAUUAGGAACCAACUGAAAUUAAACCCCAUCACAGUUUAAUGUUCUGUUUAUUGUUCUGUUAAUUUAAAGUAGUAAGUCCAUGUUAUAUCAGAGCAUCAUACAGUUUAUAUAUGAUGGGUUUGUUUUUGCAAUCUUAGUGUAGGCAGUAGUUGUGUGGACAUGUGUGAGCUUUUCUGCUGAAGGCUGUGAGGGAUGCUCUUCUGUUCAUCUAGAGCUAGUUAUGGAAACAUGCUACAACCUGCUCUAGGUCCUACUAUGUCAAAAACUCAGAAUAUUCUGUGAAUACAACAAUUAAAGUUCCCUGUAGUCCUGGUUAUGCAUCACAAUAUGUAAGAUUCAUGUACAUAUUUUUUUAUUUUUUUUUUUCAAAUUUCACAAACCAUAAGAGAUGUCCAGUUCUGGCUAUAUGAUAAUCUCUAAAAAUGCAGAUUAUUUGUAAAGGUUUCUCUUUUACUGCCAUCAGUUUGAGAUGAUUACAUUAUGCACAAAUGGUAAAUCAUAUUCCCUGAUGAAUAAAUGAAGAUGUUUCUGA